RNAcentral lists this ribosomal RNA (255 nucleotides) under uncultured bacterium. RNAcentral's name for it is "partial 16S ribosomal RNA". It matches the Rfam family "Bacterial small subunit ribosomal RNA", at positions 524 to 776 of the family's 1533-position model. The record is from RNAcentral.
UACGUAGGGUGCGAGCGUUGUCCGGAAUUAUUGGGCGUAAAGAGCUCGUAGGCGGUUUGUCGCGUCUGCCGUGAAAGUCCGGGGCUCAACUCCGGAUCUGCGGUGGGUACGGGCAGACUAGAGUGCGGUAGGGGUGACUGGAAUUCCUGGUGUAGCGGUGGAAUGCGCAGAUAUCAGGAGGAACACCGAUGGCGAAGGCAGGUCACUGGGCCGCAACUGACGCUGGAGGAGCGGAAAGCAUGGGGAGCAAACGGG